RNAcentral lists this ribosomal RNA (468 nucleotides) under uncultured bacterium. RNAcentral describes it as "partial 16S ribosomal RNA". It matches the Rfam family "Bacterial small subunit ribosomal RNA", at positions 28 to 507 of the family's 1533-position model. The record is from RNAcentral.
GACGAACGCUGGCGGCGUGCUUAACACAUGCAAGUCGAACGGAAAGGCCCUGCUUUUGUGGGGUGCUCGAUUGGCGAAGGGGUGAGUAACACGUGAGUAACCUGACCUUGACUUUGGGAUAACUUCAGGAAACUGGGGCUACUACCGGAUAGGAGCUCCUGCUGCAUGGUGGGGAGUGGAAAGUUUCGGCGGUUGGGGAUGGACUCGCGGCUUAUCAGCUUGUUGGUUGGGUAGUGGCUGACCAAGUCUUUGGCGGGUAGCCGGCCUGGGAGGGUGGACGGGCUCCAGACGCCUGAGGUAGGCAGCAGUGUCGUACGUGCGGCAACAGUGGGGAGUCUGGCACAGUGAGCCGAAGUCUGAUACGGCGGCCCUCCGUGCGGGAAGCCGUCCUUUUGGGUAAGAACAGCUGUAGCCUGUGACGACGCGUUAGUGACGGUACUGAAUAAAGAAGCACCGGCUAACUACGUG